RNAcentral lists this transfer RNA (71 nucleotides) under Candidatus Bathyarchaeota archaeon. RNAcentral describes it as "tRNA-Val". It matches the Rfam family "tRNA". Rfam says of the family: Transfer RNA (tRNA) molecules are approximately 80 nucleotides in length. Their secondary structure includes four short double-helical elements and three loops (D, anti-codon, and T loops). Lineage: Archaea; Thermoproteati; Candidatus Bathyarchaeota. The record is from RNAcentral.
GGGCUGAUAGUCUAACGGUAGGACGCCGCUCUUACGAGGCGGAAAUCCCGGUUCGAUCCCGGGUCGGCCCA